UGGGGAAUAUUGCGCAAUGGCCGCAAGGCUGACGCAGCGACGCCGCGUGUGGGAGGAAGCCCUUCGGGGUGUAAACCACUGUCAGGGGGGACGAACCCCGGACGGGCGAACAGCCCGGACGGCUGACGGUACCUCCAGAGGAAGCACCGGCUAACUCCGUGCCAGCAGCCGCGGUAAGACGGAGGGUGCAAGCGUUGUUCGGAAUUACUGGGCGUAAAGCGCGGGCAGGUGGUCCCUUAAGUCCCUUGUGAAAUUCCGGGGCUCAACUCCGGAUGUGCGUGGGAUACUGGGGGACUGGAGACUGGUAGAGGCGAGCGGAAUUCCUGGUGUAGCGGUGGAAUGCGUAGAUAUCAGGAAGAACACCGGUGGCGAAGGCGGCUCGCUGGGCCAGUUCUGACACUCAUCCGCGAAAGCGUGGGGAGCAAACAGGAUUAGAUACCCCCGUAGUCC
RNAcentral lists this ribosomal RNA (450 nucleotides) under uncultured prokaryote. RNAcentral describes it as "bacterial SSU rRNA". It matches the Rfam family "Bacterial small subunit ribosomal RNA", at positions 355 to 796 of the family's 1533-position model. The record is from RNAcentral.